CCAACUCAUCAACUGGGCCCACACAGAUAUCCGACAGGUGACCUUUUGACGUCAAGAGGCUAAAAACUCCACCCUCAGAUCAUGUAUACACUGCCAUUUUGUGAACAUGGGUCCUAUGAAGAGGCGUGGAGUCUGACUACACUUGUGCACAUCAUCAAUUACCUCACCUCUCCUCACCUCCAGUCACCCAUCUCCACAUCUCAGACCACCUUGCCCCCAUCCCAUAAAUAUCCCCGAGUCCUUAUUUUUGGGGAAGUGAAUUUGAGACUCAUGCUCUCGCUUCCUCACAUGGAUGCCUUGUGUUUAAACCCUCUCUCUGCUGCAAUCUCAUCAUCUUGGUGUUUGGCUUUCCGGGUGAUGGGCAAAAACGAACUUGGUGCAGUAACACAGUGAUGAUAUGAUAACAGAAGGAAGAAGUUUGUGCAAACCAGGUUGAUGACACAGCAGGACAGACCAAGUAUCUAUUUCUCUUUUGUAAGCAUGCAUGCAUCCAAGUCUGUCUGCUUGAGAACUUUCUGGGUAAGACAGACAAGUAGCUUCUUCCACUGGCUGUGGUCAAACUAGCAUAAUUAAUUAAUCAUGGAGUUGCAUAUCCACAUUGUCCCGCCUUCACUGCAAGUCAACAUCCCUGCACCAACAAAACUAUGGAUUGAGAAGCUUAUAACCUGGAGCCUGGAUGGCUCACCCAAGAGAUUUUGGUAGAAGUAGUCAAGGCCAUAGCACCGAGAGCAGGAUGGAAGGAGGCCUUUGGGAUGCUUUUGCUGAUGCCAAACAUGGAAUGGAGUCAGUCAGUUUGAAGUUCAAGAGAGGCACGAUUCACCGGAUAGCUGACCUACAAAUUAAGCAGACCAUUUCAGUGGUCCAGGACAUUCUCUGACAUGGUGUCUCGUGAUGAAUAGCAGCUCAGGGGCAGAACGAACCGAAGUACUGUUCCCAGAUCCAUCAACAGAUAGGACGUGGGUGGACAGAAGUGUCAAGACAGUCACAGGACAUCUCCAGGAAAUAUUGUCGGGGAUACCAAUGAUGCCACAGUGCCAAGGAAAGCCCAGCAUAGCAGUACUUCUGUCUGAUUUUGAUCAAGGUUGCCUUCUUCUGAAUCCAAGGGAUGCUAGCCACAAAACACACCUGGCCCAGCUGCUAAGUUACUAUUAGAUCUACUAGAUGAAGUUCUUGAGUCUUAAAGAAGCAGUUUGGCAACUGCCCUUUGACCCGCUCCUCUAGGAAUUCAUCUUAAGGCGUGAAAAGAUUUGGCUACAAAGCUGUUUGCUACUAUGUGGAGAUGAUGAUGGUGAUGAUGAUGGUGAUGAUGAUGAUGAUAACGGCCCUGAUCUAUGCACUUUGUGUAUAUUAACUCAGUUUACCUUCAUAGCAAACCCAUCAGACUCCUCUGAAAAGAGAAGGUAAACCAUGCCAGAAAAUAAAAGUUAUCAGGGAGCAUCUGUGGAGUUUUCCUGGAGGCCAUUCUCUUCUGGAAUCCGAACUGUCACCAGCACAUGGAGCCCGGCUGACUUAUGAAGAGUGUGAUGCAGGAUCGUUUGGUAUUCUGCAAGGGCAGUGGCGUGUGUUGGGGGCCAAGGCGUGCUGGCGACUCCAGGGUCUGCCAGGCUUUCACUCUCUCCAGAUUGCCCCUGCCUCCCAGCAGGAGCUGACCCAGGCUUGAAAAAGGUUAACUAGCACAAACAGCCAUCAUUUGUGACGAGUGGGAAAGCCCCAUGUGUUGCCCCAGCUUCUCUUUAUGAGGCAUGAGGGGUGGUUUUUCUCUGUUGUUCAGACGGUUGGCACAAGGUGAGUACCCAGCAUGCUUCUGCUUUAGGAACUGGAAAGGCCUGUCUCCAGGCAAGUGUUCAGGAGGCCAAAAAAG
Equus caballus (horse) is the source of this 1861-nucleotide long non-coding RNA. NCBI's taxonomy places the organism in Eukaryota, Metazoa, Chordata, Mammalia, Perissodactyla, Equidae. The record is from Ensembl.